CGCCUGGGCGGCGUGCUAUACAUGCAGUCGAGCGGACAGAUGGGAGCUUGCUCCCUGAUGUUAGCGGCGGACGGGUGAGUAACACGUGGGUAACCUGCCUGUAAGACUGGGAUAACUCCGGGAAACCGGGGCUAAUACCGGAUGGUUGUUUGAACCGCAUGGUUCAAACAUAAAAGGUGGCUUCGGCUACCACUUACAGAUGGACCCGCGGCGCAUUAGCUAGUUGGUGAGGUAACGGCUCACCAAGGCAACGAUGCGUAGCCGACCUGAGAGGGUGAUCGGCCACACUGGGACUGAGACACGGCCCAGACUCCUACGGGAGGCAGCAGUAGGGAAUCUUCCGCAAUGGACGAAAGUCUGACGGAGCAACGCCGCGUGAGUGAUGAAGGUUUUCGGAUCGUAAAGCUCUGUUGUUAGGGAAGAACAAGUACCGUUCGAAUAGGGCGGUACCUUGACGGUACCUAACCAGAAAGCCACGGCUAACUACGUGCCAGCAGCCGCGGUAAUACGUAGGUGGCAAGCGUUGUCCGGAAUUAUUGGGCGUAAAGGGCUCGCAGGCGGUUUCUUAAGUCUGAUGUGAAAGCCCCCGGCUCAACCGGGGAGGGUCAUUGGAAACUGGGGAACUUGAGUGCAGAAGAGGAGAGUGGAAUUCCACGUGUAGCGGUGAAAUGCGUAGAGAUGUGGAGGAACACCAGUGGCGAAGGCGACUCUCUGGUCUGUAACUGACGCUGAGGAGCGAAAGCGUGGGGAGCGAACAGGAUUAGAUACCCUGGUAGUCCACGCCGUAAACGAUGAGUGCU
RNAcentral lists this ribosomal RNA (800 nucleotides) under Bacillus tequilensis. RNAcentral's name for it is "bacterial SSU rRNA". It matches the Rfam family "Bacterial small subunit ribosomal RNA", at positions 34 to 817 of the family's 1533-position model. Lineage: Bacteria; Bacillati; Bacillota; Bacilli; Caryophanales; Bacillaceae. The record is from RNAcentral.